GGGGAGAGGAACUUGUUCCUCGAGUCGUUGAUUUCACACUGCCGAGAAAAGCCUCUAGCUAGAAUAACGGUGCCCGUACCGCAAACCGACACAGGUAGUCAAGAUGAGAAUUCUAAGGUGAGCGAGCGAACUCUCGUUAAGGAACUCGGCAAAAUGACCCCGUAACUUCGGGAGAAGGGGUGCUCUUUGAGGUUCACGCUUCGAAGAGCCGCAGUGAAUAGGCCCAAGCGACUGUUUAUCAAAAACACAGGUCUCUGCUAAACCGUAAGGUGACGUAUAGGGGCUGACGCCUGCCCGGUGCUGGAAGGUUAAGAGGAGUGGUUAGCGCAAGCGAAGCUACGAAUCGAAGCCCCAGUAAACGGCGGCCGUAACUAUAACGGUCCUAAGGUAGCGAAAUUCCUUGUCGGGUAAGUUCCGACCCGCACGAAAGGCGUAACGAUUUGGGCACUGUCUCAACGAGAGACUCGGUGAAAUCAUAGUACCGGUGAAGAUGCCGGUUACCCGCGACAGGACGGAAAGACCCCGUGGAGCUUUACUGUAGCCUGAUAUUGAAAUUCGGUACAGUUUGUACAGGAUAGGUAGGAGCCUUAGAAGCGUGAGCGCUAGCUUACGUGGAGGCAUUGGUGGGAUACUACCCUAAUUGUAUUGGAUUUCUAACCCGCAGCACUUAUCGUGCUGGGAGACAGUGUCAGGCGGGCAGUUUGACUGGGGCGGUCGCCUCCUAAAGAGUAACGGAGGCGCUCAAAGGUUCCCUCAGAAUGGUUGGAAAUCAUUCAUAGAGUGUAAAGGCAUAAGGGAGCUUGACUGCGAGACCUACAAGUCGAGCAGGGUCGAAAGACGGACUUAGUGAUCCGGUGGUUCCGCAUGGAAGGGCCAUCGCUCAACGGAUAAAAGCUACCCCGGGGAUAACAGGCUUAUCUCCCCCAAGAGUUCACAUCGACGGGGAGGUUUGGCACCUCGAUGUCGGCUCAUCGCAUCCUGGGGCUGUAGUCGGUCCCAAGGGUUGGGCUGUUCGCCCAUUAAAGCGGUACGCGAGCUGGGUUCAGAACGUCGUGAGACAGUUCGGUCCCUAUCCGUCGUGGGCGUAGGAAAUUUGAGAGGAGCUGUCCUUAGUACGAGAGGACCGGGAUGGACAUACCUCUGGUGUACCAGUUGUCGUGCCAACGGCAUAGCUGGGUAGCUAUGUAUGGACGGGAUAAGUGCUGAAAGCAUCUAAGCAUGAAGCCCCCCUCGAGAUGAGAUUUCCCAACUUCGGUUAUAAGAU
This 1264-nucleotide ribosomal RNA is filed under the name Staphylococcus pseudintermedius. Its description in RNAcentral is "partial 23S ribosomal RNA". It matches the Rfam family "Bacterial large subunit ribosomal RNA", at positions 1567 to 2834 of the family's 2925-position model. The record is from RNAcentral. Lineage: Bacteria; Bacillati; Bacillota; Bacilli; Caryophanales; Staphylococcaceae.